Molecule: unclassified non-coding RNA, 169 nt
Filed under: uncultured Hypocreales
Lineage: Eukaryota; Fungi; Ascomycota; Sordariomycetes; Hypocreales
Description: sequence contains ITS2
Source: RNAcentral
CAACCCUCGGAGCCCCCUUCGGGGCACCGGUGUUGGGGAUCGACCGCCCCCCGUGGUGGUCGGCCCUGAAACUCAGUGGCGGUCUCGCCGUAGCCUCCCUUGCGUAGUAGCAUACACCUCGCACUGGACGGCCGGCGCGGCCACGCCGUGAAACCCCCCACCUCUGAAA